UGGGAAGGCCAUGACAACCAGGAGGUUGGCUUAGAAGCAGCCAUCCUUUAAAGAAAGCGUAAUAGCUCACUGGUCUAAAUAAGCCGGCCUGCGCCGAAGAUGUACCGGGGCUCAAGCCACCCACCGAAGCUGAGGAUGCAUGUCUUCGGACAUGCGUGGUAGCGGAGCGUUCCGUAGGCCUGUGAAGGGGUCCUGUAAGGGGUCCUGGAGGUAUCGGAAGUGAGAAUGCUGACAUGAGUAGCGACAAAGAGUGUGAGAAACACUCUCGCCGAAAGUCCAAGGGUU
This 285-nucleotide ribosomal RNA is filed under the name Alexandrium margalefii. Its description in RNAcentral is "partial Bacterial large subunit ribosomal RNA". It matches the Rfam family "Bacterial large subunit ribosomal RNA", at positions 1076 to 1353 of the family's 2925-position model. The record is from RNAcentral. Lineage: Eukaryota; Dinophyceae; Gonyaulacales; Pyrocystaceae.